CCUACGGGUGGCAGCAGUGAGGAAUAUUGGUCAAUGGACGAGAGUCUGAACCAGCCAAGUAGCGUGAAGGAUGACUGCCCUAUGGGUUGUAAACUUCUUUUAUAUGGGAAUAAAAUGUUCCACGUGUGGGAUUUUGUAUGUACCAUAUGAAUAAGGAUCGGCUAACUCCGUGCCAGCAGCCGCGGUAAUACGGAGGAUCCGAGCGUUAUCCGGAUUUAUUGGGUUUAAAGGGAGCGUAGGUGGAUUGUUAAGUCAGUUGUGAAAGUUUGCGGCUCAACCGUAAAAUUGCAGUUGAAACUGGCAGUCUUGAGUACAGUAGAGGUGGGCUGAAGUCGUGGUGUAGCGGUGAAAUGCUUAGAUAUCACGAAGAACUCCGAUUGCGAAGGCAGUUCACUGGACUGCAACUGACACUGAGGCUCGAAAGUGUGGGUAUCAAACAGGAUUAGAUACCCGAGUAGUC
RNAcentral lists this ribosomal RNA (460 nucleotides) under uncultured bacterium. RNAcentral describes it as "partial 16S ribosomal RNA". It matches the Rfam family "Bacterial small subunit ribosomal RNA", at positions 338 to 795 of the family's 1533-position model. The record is from RNAcentral.